AGUGGCGCACGGGUGAGUAACACGUGAAUAACGUACCUCCGGAUGGGGAAUAACGUUCCGAAAGGAGCGCUAAUACCGCAUAAGACCACGUCAUCACAAGAUGAUGAGGCCAAAGCAGCAAUGCGUCUGGAGAUCGGUUCGCGUCCCAUUAGAUAGUUGGCGGGGUAAUGGCCCACCAAGUCAAAGAUGGGUAGCUGGUCUGAGAGGAUGAUCAGCCACAUUGGGACUGAGACACGGCCCAAACUCCUACGGGAGGCAGCAGUGGGGAAUCUUGCGCAAUGGGCGAAAGCCUGACGCAGCAACGCCGCGUGAGUGAUGAAGGCCCUCGGGUCGUAAAGCUCUGUCAGAAGGGAAGAAUAGAUGACGGUACCUUCAAAGGAAGCACCGGCUAACUCCGUGCCAGCAGCCGCGGUAAUACGGAGGGUGCAAGCGUUACUCGGAAUCAUUGGGCGUAAAGCGCACGUAGGCGGUCUCUUAAGUCCGAUGUGAAAUCCCGGGGCUCAACCUCGGGUGGCCAUUGGAAACUGAGAGACUUGAGAGUGGAAGGGGUCAGUGGAAUUCCUGGUGUAGGAGUGAAAUCCGUAGAGAUCAGGAGGAACACCGGUGGCGAAGGCGACUGACUGGGCCAUUUCUGACGCUAAUGUGCAAAAGCGUGGGGAGCAAACAGGAUAGAUACCCUGGUAGUCCACGCCGUAAACGA
RNAcentral lists this ribosomal RNA (700 nucleotides) under uncultured bacterium. RNAcentral's name for it is "bacterial SSU rRNA". It matches the Rfam family "Bacterial small subunit ribosomal RNA", at positions 94 to 809 of the family's 1533-position model. The record is from RNAcentral.